Molecule: transfer RNA, 84 nt
Filed under: Elusimicrobiota bacterium
Lineage: Bacteria; Pseudomonadati; Elusimicrobiota
Description: Elusimicrobia bacterium tRNA-Leu
Rfam family: tRNA
About the family: Transfer RNA (tRNA) molecules are approximately 80 nucleotides in length. Their secondary structure includes four short double-helical elements and three loops (D, anti-codon, and T loops).
Source: RNAcentral
GCCGGCGUGGCGGAACUGGCAGACGCGACGGACUCAAAAUCCGUUGGCCGCAAGGCCGUGUGGGUUCGAUUCCCACCGCCGGUA